UUAUAAGAGACAGCAGUAGCCGCGGUAAUACGGAGGGUGCAAGCGUUACUCGGAAUCACUGGGCGUAAAGCGUGCGCAGGCGGUUGUGUAAGACAGAUGUGAAAUCCCCGGGCUUAACCUGGGAACUGCAUUUGUGACUGGCGGGCUAGAGUAUGGCAGAGGGGGGUAGAAUUCCACGUGUAGCAGUGAAAUGCGUAGAGAUGUGGAGGAAUACCGAUGGCGAAGGCAGCCCCCUGGGCCAAUACUGACGCUCAUGCACGAAAGCGUGGGGAGCAAACAGGAUUAGAUACCCCUGUAGUCCCUGUCUCUUAUAA
This 314-nucleotide ribosomal RNA is filed under the name uncultured bacterium. RNAcentral describes it as "partial 16S ribosomal RNA". It matches the Rfam family "Bacterial small subunit ribosomal RNA", at positions 499 to 809 of the family's 1533-position model. The record is from RNAcentral.